This 73-nucleotide transfer RNA is filed under the name Gulosibacter macacae. It matches the Rfam family "tRNA". Rfam says of the family: Transfer RNA (tRNA) molecules are approximately 80 nucleotides in length. Their secondary structure includes four short double-helical elements and three loops (D, anti-codon, and T loops). Lineage: Bacteria; Bacillati; Actinomycetota; Actinomycetes; Micrococcales; Microbacteriaceae. The record is from Rfam by way of RNAcentral.
GCCUCCGUAGCUCAAUGGAUAGAGCACCGGCCUUCUAAUCCGUAGGUUGCCAGUUCGAGUCUGGCCGGGGGCG